Molecule: ribosomal RNA, 507 nt
Filed under: uncultured bacterium
Lineage: Bacteria
Description: bacterial SSU rRNA
Rfam family: Bacterial small subunit ribosomal RNA
Source: RNAcentral
AGAGUUUUGAUCAUGGCUCAGGAUGAACGCUAGCGGAGGCUUAAUACAUGCAAGUCGCACGGCAGCAUUGAUAUAGUAAUAUAUUAGAUGGCGAGUGGCGCACGGGUGAGUAACGCGUACACAACCUACCCUUAAGAGGGGAUAACUCAGAGAAAUUUGGGAUAAUACCCCAUAAUAUCGGAGAUAUGCAUAUAUUUUUGAUUAAAGUUACGGCGCUUAAGGAUGGGUGUGCGUUAGAUUAGGUAGUUGGUGAGGUAACGGCUCACCAAGCCGACGAUCUAUAAGGGGCGUGAGAGCGUGGUCCCUCACACGGGUACUGAGACACGGACCCGACUCCUACGGGAGGCAGCAGUAAGGAAUAUUGGACAAUGCCCGCAAGGGUGAUCCAGCCAUCCCGCGUGCAGGAAGACUGCCCUAUGGGUUGUAAACUGCUUUUAUCAGGGAAGAAACCCCUUGACUUGUUGAGGGUUGACGGUACCUGAUGAAUAAGCACCGGCUAACUCCGUG